UGAACGCUAGCUACAGGCUUAACACAUGCAAGUCGAGGGGCAGCAUUUUAGUUUGCUUGCAAACUAAAGAUGGCGACCGGCGCACGGGUGAGUAACACGUAUCCAACCUGCCGAUAACUCGGGGAUAGCCUUUCGAAAGAAAGAUUAAUAUCCGAUAGUAUAUUAAAACCGCAUGGUUUUACUAUUAAAGAAUUUCGGUUAUCGAUGGGGAUGCGUUCCAUUAGUUUGUUGGCGGGGUAACGGCCCACCAAGACAACGAUGGAUAGGGGUUCUGAGAGGAAGGUCCCCCACAUUGGAACUGAGACACGGUCCAAACUCCUACGGGAGGCAGCAGUGAGGAAUAUUGGUCAAUGGACGAGAGUCUGAACCAGCCAAGUAGCGUGAAGGAUGACUGCCCUAUGGGUUGUAAACUUCUUUUAUAUGGGAAUAAAGUAUUCCACGUGUGGGAUUUUGUAUGUACCAUAUGAAUAAGGAUCGGCUAACUCCGUGCCAGCAGCCGCGGUAAUACGGAGGAUCCGAGCGUUAUCCGGAUUUAUUGGGUUUAAAGGGAGCGUAGGUGGAUUGUUAAGUCAGUUGUGAAAGUUUGCGGCUCAACCGUAAAAUUGCAGUUGAAACUGGCAGUCUUGAGUACAGUAGAGGUGGGCGGAAUUCGUGGUGUAGCGGUGAAAUGCUUAGAUAUCACGAAGAACUCCGAUUGCGAAGGCAGCUCACUAGACUGCAACUGACACUGAUGCUCGAAAGUGUGGGUAUCAAACAGGAUUAGAUACCCUGGUAGUCCACACAGUAAACGAUGAAUACUCGCUGUUUGCGAUAUACAGUAAGCGGCCAAGCGAAAGCAUUAAGUAUUCCACCUGGGGAGUACGCCGGCAACGGUGAAACUCAAAGGAAUUGACGGGGGCCCGCACAAGCGGAGGAACAUGUGGUUUAAUUCGAUGAUACGCGAGGAACCUUACCCGGGCUUAAAUUGCAUUUGAAUAAUCUGGAAACAGGUUAGCCGCAAGGCAAAUGUGAAGGUGCUGCAUGGUUGUCGUCAGCUCGUGCCGUGAGGUGUCGGCUUAAGUGCCAUAACGAGCGCAACCCUUAUCUUUAGUUACUAACAGGUCAUGCUGAGGACUCUAGAGAGACUGCCGUCGUAAGAUGUGAGGAAGGUGGGGAUGACGUCAAAUCAGCACGGCCCUUACGUCCGGGGCUACACACGUGUUACAAUGGGGGGUACAGAAGGCAGCUACCUGGCGACAGGAUGCUAAUCCCAAAAACCUCUCUCAGUUCGGAUCGAAGUCUGCAACCCGACUUCGUGAAGCUGGAUUCGCUAGUAAUCGCGCAUCAGCCAUGGCGCGGUGAAUACGUUCCCGGGCCUUGUACACACCGCCCGUCAAGCCAUGAAAGCCGGGGGUACCUGAAGUACGUAACCGCAAGGAGCGUCCUAGGGUAAAACUGGUAAUUGGGGCU
RNAcentral lists this ribosomal RNA (1449 nucleotides) under uncultured organism. RNAcentral's name for it is "SSU rRNA". It matches the Rfam family "Bacterial small subunit ribosomal RNA". The record is from RNAcentral.